ACCUGCGGAAGGAUCAUUAAAGAUUGGCCGAAAGGCCUUAUCAUUAUAUCCCUCACCUCUGUGAACUGUGGACCCUCGGGUCUAUUUUACAAACAUCAGUGUAAUGAACGUAUAUAACAUUAACAAAACAAAACUUUCAACAACGGAUCUCUUGGCUCUCGCAUCGAUGAAGAACGCAGCGAAAUGCGAUAAGUAAUGUGAAUUGCAGAAUUCAGUGAAUCAUCGAAUCUUUGAACGCACCUUGCGCCUUUUGGUAUUCCGAAAGGCAUGCCUGUUUGAGUGUCAUGAAAUCUCAAUCCCCUCGGGUUUAUGAUCUGGGUCGGGACUUGGACUUGGGUGUCUGCCGGUUACACGGCUCGCCUCAAAUGACUAAGUGGAUCUCUCUGCAUCCGUGACAGACGUAAUAAGUUUCGUCUUGUCCCUUGCUAAUGAGUCUGCUCAUAACCUGCCAUCGCGCACUUUUAGACUCUGACCUCAAAUCAGGUAGGACUACCCGCUGAACUUAAGCAUAUCAUA
RNAcentral lists this ribosomal RNA (516 nucleotides) under Papiliotrema rajasthanensis. Its description in RNAcentral is "eukaryotic LSU rRNA". The stretch from base 132 to 285 matches the Rfam family "5.8S ribosomal RNA". The record is from RNAcentral. Lineage: Eukaryota; Fungi; Basidiomycota; Tremellomycetes; Tremellales; Rhynchogastremaceae.